RNAcentral lists this long non-coding RNA (431 nucleotides) under Nicotiana benthamiana. RNAcentral's name for it is "long non-coding RNA (NBEN_LNC036909)". Lineage: Eukaryota; Viridiplantae; Streptophyta; Magnoliopsida; Solanales; Solanaceae. The record is from RNAcentral.
CCCAACUGAGUGCUUGUUUGCAUUAGCAUUAAAAGACAUAGAGUCUGGACUGAUUUGAGAAAUAGAUUGAACUUGUCUCUGUUUCUCAUCAUUAAGCAGUAUAUUGUAAACACUGUCAAGGGAAGGAAAUGGCUGCAUCAUCAACAGAUUACUCCUAAACCCCAUGUAUGCUUCAUUUAACCACAUAAGAAACUGGAAUACCUUGUUUUCAUAAUCUUCCCCAAUUAUUCCAUUUUUAGCAGCACACACACAUCUCUGCCCAUGAUUUGUGCAUAUUGUGCCAAACUCAUCCCACAGGCCUUUGAGCUUAUUAAAGUAUGAGGCUACGUCUAAGUAGCCUUGAGAUGUGUGGGAAAGUUCCCUUUUUAAUUCAAAGAUUUUGGUCUUGUUAGGGGUACCAUAUCUUUUCUCAAUUUGGGACCAUAUACUCN